Molecule: ribosomal RNA, 318 nt
Filed under: Vibrio parahaemolyticus
Lineage: Bacteria; Pseudomonadati; Pseudomonadota; Gammaproteobacteria; Vibrionales; Vibrionaceae
Description: bacterial SSU rRNA
Rfam family: Bacterial small subunit ribosomal RNA
Source: RNAcentral
AAAUUGAAGAGUUUGAUCAUGGCUCAGAUUGAACGCUGGCGGCAGGCCUAACACAUGCAAGUCGAGCGGAAACGAGUUGUCAGAACCUUCGGGGAACGAUAACGGCGUCGAGCGGCGGACGGGUGAGUAAUGCCUAGGAAAUUGCCCUGAUGUGGGGGAUAACCAUUGGAAACGAUGGCUAAUACCGCAUGAUGCCUACGGGCCAAAGAGGGGGACCUUCGGGCCUCUCGCGUCAGGAUAUGCCUAGGUGGGAUUAGCUAGUUGGUGAGGUAAGGGCUCACCAAGGCGACGAUCCCUAGCUGGUCUGAGAGGAUGAUC